Molecule: long non-coding RNA, 132 nt
Organism: Neogale vison (American mink)
Lineage: Eukaryota; Metazoa; Chordata; Mammalia; Carnivora; Mustelidae
Exons: 3
Source: RefSeq, a predicted model, not a curated record
GGCCUCCUUCUUCUCACUACUGGACCCUGUGUUGCCAGGCUGUAUGGGUGGAAUGCAGAUGUAACGGAUGGAGUCAAGCAGCUGUCUUGGACUAUGAGGUGGGAAGCAAGAAAGGGUUCACGGUCAUCGACC